GACGAACCGUGCGAACGUUGUUCGGAAUCACUGGGCUUAAAGGGCGCGUAGGCGGACUGCCAAGUCAGGGGUGAAAGCCCACGGCUCAACCGUGGAAGUGCCUUUGAUACUGGCGGUCUCGAGGGAGGUAGGGGCGGGCGGAACUUCCGGUGGAGCGGUGAAAUGCGUAGAUAUCGGAAGGAACACCGGUGGCGAAAGCGGCGCGCUGGACCUCUUCUGACGCUGAGGCGCGAAAGCCAGGGGAGCGAACGGG
This 253-nucleotide ribosomal RNA is filed under the name uncultured bacterium. RNAcentral's name for it is "partial 16S ribosomal RNA". It matches the Rfam family "Bacterial small subunit ribosomal RNA", at positions 524 to 776 of the family's 1533-position model. The record is from RNAcentral.